AUAUCUUUCUCGGCUUUUGGCAAAGAUCAAGUGUAGUAUCUGUUUUUAUUAGUUUAACUAGUUUUUUUACGAGCAUUGCGCGAUUGAGAUAAUGUCCAAUGUUU
This 104-nucleotide small nuclear RNA is filed under the name Ipomoea nil (Japanese morning glory). RNAcentral describes it as "U2 spliceosomal RNA". It matches the Rfam family "U2 spliceosomal RNA". Rfam says of the family: U2 is a small nuclear RNA (snRNA) component of the spliceosome (involved in pre-mRNA splicing). Complementary binding between U2 snRNA (in an area lying towards the 5' end but 3' to hairpin I) and the branchpoint sequence (BPS) of the intron results the bulging out of an unpaired adenosine, on the BPS, which initiates a nucleophilic attack at the intronic 5' splice site, thus starting the first of two transesterification reactions that mediate splicing. The record is from Rfam by way of RNAcentral. Lineage: Eukaryota; Viridiplantae; Streptophyta; Magnoliopsida; Solanales; Convolvulaceae.